AUUGAACGCUGGCGGCAGGCCUAACACAUGCAAGUCGAACGGUAACAGGAAGCAGCUUGCUGCUUUGCUGACGAGUGGCGGACGGGUGAGUAAUGUCUGGGAAACUGCCUGAUGGAGGGGGAUAACUACUGGAAACGGUAGCUAAUACCGCAUAACGUCGCAAGACCAAAGAGGGGGACCUUAGGGCCUCUUGCCAUCGGAUGUGCCCAGAUGGGAUUAGCUAGUAGGUGGGGUAACGGCUCACCUAGGCGACGAUCCCUAGCUGGUCUGAGAGGAUGACCAGCCACACUGGAACUGAGACACGGUCCAGACUCCUACGGGAGGCAGCAGUGGGGAAUAUUGCACAAUGGGCGCAAGCCUGAUGCAGCCAGGCCGCGUGUAUGAAGAAGGCCUUCGGGUUGUAAAGUACUUUCAGCGGGGAGGAAGGGAGUAAAGUUAAUACCUUUGCUCAUUGACGUUACCCGCAGAAGAAGCACCGGCUAACUCCGU
This 489-nucleotide ribosomal RNA is filed under the name uncultured bacterium. RNAcentral's name for it is "partial 16S ribosomal RNA". It matches the Rfam family "Bacterial small subunit ribosomal RNA", at positions 30 to 506 of the family's 1533-position model. The record is from RNAcentral.